RNAcentral lists this ribosomal RNA (506 nucleotides) under uncultured bacterium. RNAcentral's name for it is "bacterial SSU rRNA". It matches the Rfam family "Bacterial small subunit ribosomal RNA", at positions 29 to 528 of the family's 1533-position model. The record is from RNAcentral.
AAUAAACGCUGGCGGCGUGCCUAACACAUGCAAGUCGAGCGAGAAAGCUCCUUCGGGAGUUAGUAAAGCGGCGAACGGGUGAGCAACACGUGAGAAUCUACCCUUUAGUGAAGAAUACCCUCGAGAAGUCGAGGCUAAUACUGCAUACGUCCCUUCGGGGAGAAAGAUGGCCUCUUUGCUAUCGCUAAAGGAUGAGCUUGCGUACUAUUAGCUAGUUGGCGGGGUAAAGGCCCACCAAGGCGAAUGAUGGUUAACCGGCCUGAGAGGGUGUACGGUCACACUGGAACUUAGACACGGUCCAGACUCCUACGGGAGGCAGCAGUGAGGAAUCUUGCGCAAUGGGCGAAAGCCUGACGCAGCGACGCCGCGUGGAGGAUGACGGUUUUUCGGAUUGUAAACUCCUGUUAAGACGGGAGAAAGCCUUGUUUCUAAUACAAGCAAGGUAUGACGGUACCGCUAGAGAAAGCACCGGCUAACUUCGUGCCAGCAGCCGCGGUAAAGCACGA